This is a long non-coding RNA of Thalassophryne amazonica, 154 nucleotides long. RefSeq lists it as uncharacterized. The transcript is spliced from 3 exons. The record is from RefSeq and is a predicted model, not a curated record. Lineage: Eukaryota; Metazoa; Chordata; Actinopteri; Batrachoidiformes; Batrachoididae.
GGGGUUUUUUGUCAUAGCAUCACAAAAUUUGGUACAUACAUUUACCAUGCUGGGACGCACAAAAAAAGUCUCUUACUGUCAUGGUGAAAUAUUGACAGGAAGUCGGCCAUAUUGAUUUUAAGUUUCGAUUUUGAGCAAAUUUUUGCCAUUUCCA